Molecule: ribosomal RNA, 340 nt
Filed under: uncultured Candidatus Sumerlaeota bacterium
Lineage: Bacteria; Candidatus Sumerlaeota
Description: bacterial SSU rRNA
Rfam family: Bacterial small subunit ribosomal RNA
Source: RNAcentral
AACGAACGUUGGCGGCGUGGAUUAGGCAUGCAAGUCGAGCGAGAAAGAGGGGGCAACUCCUUGAGUAAAGCGGCGAACUGGUGAGUAAUAGGUGGGUAAUGUGCCUUUCAGUGGGGGAUAACAUCUGGAAACAGGUGCUAAUACCGCAUGGUGCCCGGAGAGUAAGUCAUUCCGGGAUAAAGGUGCCAUAAGCAAUUGUGGUGUCGCUGAAAGAUCGGCCCGCCCCUGAUUAGCCUGUUGGUGGGGUAACGGCCUACCAAAGCUAUGAUCAGUAGCUGGUCUGAGAGGAUGGUCAGCCACACUGGGAGUGAGAUACGGCCCAGACUCCUACGGGAGGCUG